ACAUCUAAAUGACUACGGGCCCGUUUGGCUUAGAUUCUCAAAAAGUGAUUUCUAUAAAAUUAAUUUUGCAUUGGAGAUGUGAUUUAGUUAAAAACUGCAGAAUUAAUGUUUGGCAGAGCUUAGAUAAAAGUGGUUUUUCUAAAGUAAUUUUGUAAAACUGUUUGGUGAAAAAAUUUUGAUGUUUGUAUAUAAUAACAUUUUUUACUAAAUUUUAUUUUAAAAUAAUUUAAAAUUUGAAUUAAAUUUAAAAUUUGUACAAAAUUUAAAAUUUGAUAUUUUAAUUUAAAAAAUAAAUUUGAAAUUUAAAAAUUUAAAAUUUAUAAAUUGAUCUUUUAAAGCUAAAUGCAAAUUUUCAAUUUCAAAUUUAAAAUCUAAAUUAAAGUUUGACGUAUGAAAUUUAAAAUUUAAAAAUUUUAUAUUUUAUACUUUUAUUUUAAAAAAUUUUAAAUUUAAAACUAUAAUAUUUAAAAUUUUUUAAAAAAUAUAAAUUUUAAAAUUAAGAUUUAAAAUUUUAAAAUUUAAAAUUUGAAUUUUAAAAAUUUGAAAUUUGAAAUUAAAAAAAUUAAAACAUAUAAUUUAAAUUUUAAAUUCUAAAAUAUGAAAAUUUAAAUUUUACCUUAAAUUUGAAAUUUGAAAUUUAAAAUUUAAAAUUUUAGAUUUAAAAUUUAAAAUUUAAAAUUUAAAGUAUAAAUUUUAAAUUUUAAAAGUUGAAAUUUACGAAUUCAAAAAUAAAUUUAAAAAUAAAAAUUAAAUUUAAAUUUAAAUUUA
RNAcentral lists this long non-coding RNA (768 nucleotides) under Ananas comosus (pineapple). RNAcentral describes it as "long non-coding RNA (ACOM_LNC035963)". The record is from RNAcentral. Lineage: Eukaryota; Viridiplantae; Streptophyta; Magnoliopsida; Poales; Bromeliaceae.